Molecule: ribosomal RNA, 253 nt
Filed under: uncultured bacterium
Lineage: Bacteria
Description: partial 16S ribosomal RNA
Rfam family: Bacterial small subunit ribosomal RNA
Source: RNAcentral
UACGUAGGUGGCAAGCGUUAUCCGGAUUUAUUGGGCGUAAAGGGAACGCAGGCGGUCUUUUAAGUCUGAUGUGAAAGCCUUCGGCUUAACCGGAGUAGUGCAUUGGAAACUGGGAGACUUGAGUGCAGAAGAGGAGAGUGGAACUCCAUGUGUAGCGGUGAAAUGCGUAGAUAUAUGGAAGAACACCAGUGGCGAAAGCGGCUCUCUGGUCUGUAACUGACGCUGAGGCACGAAAGCGUGGGGAGCAAACAGG